Long non-coding RNA from Panicum virgatum (switchgrass), 518 nucleotides. RefSeq lists it as uncharacterized. NCBI's taxonomy places the organism in Eukaryota, Viridiplantae, Streptophyta, Magnoliopsida, Poales, Poaceae. The transcript has 2 exons. The record is from RefSeq and is a predicted model, not a curated record.
GAGCAAUGGAACUGAUUUUUGCUUCAAGGUAUUGACUUGGAACCACAAUGGGAUCAAGGGGGAGCAAUUCUUGCCCAGAGAAAAGGUUGCCGCAACUGGUUGGCAGAUCACCAGAGCUGUACCAAAAGAUCCCAAGAAGGAUAUUCACACAAAGUGGUGGGAGAAGGACAUGGAGAGCAACAUGAAGAAUAUCAAAUCACAAGAAGGCUGGAGAUAAGUUCACAUUGGCGCACUUCUUUUCACCUAGCUGUAGAGCUUGUAAGGCCCUACACUCUAAGGUAAAAGAAGAAAAGUAUGCGCAUUGUAUAUUCAACAAUUUUACAAUUAUCAAAAGAAGAAAUAAAUGCAUUUUCUGCAUAAAUUUACAUUGAUAUAUAGUACCUUUUUGUCAAAUGUCGAUAUAUAGUACCUUUUUGUCAAAUGUCCACAGAGGUACAUCAAUUUGCCAGGAUGCAUCCAGGAAUGCAAUUUGUUAUGAUCAACUAUAAUGAACAGACAGAGAUCUGUAAGAGGCUCAA